UCGGAUAUGGUCUAGAGGUUAGGAUCGCUCGCUUUCACCGAGCUGGCCCGGGUUCGAUUCCCGGUAUCCGAA
Molecule: transfer RNA, 72 nt
Filed under: Penicillium paxilli ATCC 26601
Lineage: Eukaryota; Fungi; Ascomycota; Eurotiomycetes; Eurotiales; Aspergillaceae
Description: tRNA-Glu (TTC) (tRNA-Glu-TTC-1-1)
Rfam family: tRNA
About the family: Transfer RNA (tRNA) molecules are approximately 80 nucleotides in length. Their secondary structure includes four short double-helical elements and three loops (D, anti-codon, and T loops). Further hydrogen bonds mediate the characteristic L-shaped molecular structure. tRNAs have two regions of fundamental functional importance: the anti-codon, which is responsible for specific mRNA codon recognition, and the 3' end, to which the tRNAs corresponding amino acid is attached (by aminoacyl-tRNA synthetases). tRNAs cope with the degeneracy of the genetic code in two manners: having more than one tRNA (with a specific anti-codon) for a particular amino acid; and 'wobble' base-pairing, i.e. permitting non-standard base-pairing at the 3rd anti-codon position.
Source: RNAcentral